CCAGUGGUGUAGCGGUUAACAUGCCUGCCUGUCACGCAGGAGAUCGCGGGUUCGAUUCCCGUCUGGACCGCCA
This 73-nucleotide transfer RNA is filed under the name Erysipelothrix rhusiopathiae. RNAcentral describes it as "tRNA-Asp". It matches the Rfam family "tRNA". Rfam says of the family: Transfer RNA (tRNA) molecules are approximately 80 nucleotides in length. Their secondary structure includes four short double-helical elements and three loops (D, anti-codon, and T loops). Further hydrogen bonds mediate the characteristic L-shaped molecular structure. tRNAs have two regions of fundamental functional importance: the anti-codon, which is responsible for specific mRNA codon recognition, and the 3' end, to which the tRNAs corresponding amino acid is attached (by aminoacyl-tRNA synthetases). tRNAs cope with the degeneracy of the genetic code in two manners: having more than one tRNA (with a specific anti-codon) for a particular amino acid; and 'wobble' base-pairing, i.e. permitting non-standard base-pairing at the 3rd anti-codon position. Lineage: Bacteria; Bacillati; Bacillota; Erysipelotrichia; Erysipelotrichales; Erysipelotrichaceae. The record is from RNAcentral.